UGGCUCAGUGCUGUCGAUUGCGUUGCAUGUGCUUCACGGUUCCUGCAAUGCUAAUUCUGUUUGUUGUCUCGUUGUUCUUCAGUCCCCACCUUGUUUUAGGUCAUGUGCUUCUCGUGUCUCCAUUCGUUAGAUACAAAGUUAGGUGAGAUGUCCAGGAAUAAUAUGUGGUUGGUAUACCGUGUCUUGUAUUUGGACGAGCUCAUGCUAAUAUGUGGUUGGUACACUACCUGGGCAAGGUCAUUUUGAUACUGAUACUUGUGGGCAGCAGAGGGUUCAAAGCCUGACCAUCUACUCAGGUGCUUAAUUACGCCCCACGCUUCUUCGUUCCUUGUUCAAAUAUGAUUGGAGUAUCUUUAUCUCCCGUCUCAUGGAUCCUGAUAAUAUCCCAGAAGUAAAUAUUGUUGCUUGCUUCAUCUCUACUACUUUCUGUAACUGCUUAGUGUUAAGCUCUUGACUAUGCAUGUGCGGGUAGUUCUGAACAUUUGCUACUAACUGACGCCAAGCACAUCCAAUUGUGGUUCACUGCAGAUUGCCAAUGCCAAUUUACCAAUGAUUUCAGGUCUGCGAAAGUUGGAUUUUGGAUAGGCUUUCAAGAGCGUGACCGAAGCAGAGACACACACAUGUUUGUACGCUUGAAUUCUGAUGCCACCACCUAAUACUGCAGAUCCGUAGAGGCCAUGAAUGGCCUAGUGUGUUUCAGGUAAAAAAACAAUAUUCUGACCACAACCUUGUACUUUCCUCUUGCAUAGCAUAAACCACCCUCAUGAUCAACCUGAUUACUUAUGCGGCAACCUUCUUACAUAGGCAGCGCGACAGCAAUUCUUCGUCCUCAAAGCAUAUAUUUUCUCCAAGCGAUCAACAAAGUGAUUGGUCCAUUUGGAAGGUACACAAGUUUCUGAUGUUUCUGUAUAUUAUGAGAUAGAGGGAGUAGUUGUCAGAUCUUCUUUUCGUUCAGUACUUGUUGAGGCUGUCAUAAUUUUCUUGGAAACUUGUAGGGCAGGGUCGAAUGGGCGCGCGCGGCGGAGAUCGGGUGCGGGGCGUCGCUGUCGCCGUCGAUGACACGGUUCGGGAUCGCCACGCUCUUCAACGCCACGUCGUCUGCCGUCUCGGAGGCCGCCGCCGCCAACGCCGCGUCGGGCAUCGUCCACGCGAUGCCGCGGACCGAGCCUGUUGUGUCUGCCGAGUGGCUACACGCCAACCCUAGGGACCCCAAUGUGAAGGUAUAGCACUUGCUGUUCUGUUGCGCCCUCCCUCUGAAAUCUCAAUGUCAGUUGCACAAUUGGUAUAGUCUAGAUUUAAGAUAGGGUACUCAUAUGGCUGGGGUUCUGCUGCCGUGGCAAUUUGGUCAGCGCUGCUACAAGUGAUAAAUUUGUUUGCUUAACUAGUGAUGCUAGCUAGUACGUGAAUUGGUAUUUUAGCUGAAAGAGGAUUUUGGUGGGCUUUGUUUUAGCACCAGCAGUAAUCUCAAGUUUCUUAAAAACAAAUGAAGUGCAUGUAUUACAGUAUGCGAUGAAGGUCAACGCUCCUCGGAUAAACCUAUUUCCGAAAAGAAAAUCUUGCUACUGAAAUAAUGCUACAUUUUGGAGGCCUUUUCUUUCUGGACAUUAUUGGCAUAGUCUCGGGCUCUCAUCACUAUGAAUAAUAGAACACAUACUACUAGGAGGAAUCACAUUUAACUAUGCUAUUCAUAGGGUAGUUUUCUUGCUGUUAAACAUGUCCACUGGCAUACACUAUAUCUUAUUGUGCUCUUACUUUUUUGUCUAGGUACUUGAUGCCUCUUGGUCAGAAGAUGAUGGCGAGUUCCUCAUUCCAAUUGAGUUUAUAUUGUGUAGGUUUCUUCAUCAUGAUCUGGAUUGCCGCGGUCAUGUUCAGGUCCAAUGAUAUCUUGCGCAAGCAAACCGCUCUCAAGGUUGGUUCUUCAUAAUAACUUGUCUAUCAACGUGCUUCUUCUGCUUCUAGAGGUUAAUUAAUUGUUCUGCCAAGCAGACUGCUCUCAAGGGCUUUUUCUUAUCUUGUGUAUCAACGUUCUUGUUUUGCUUCUAGCAUUGGGUCUGUCCCUUCUAUUGAGGAAGCCGGCUGGCAGACUGCUGCCAUCACUAAAUCCCUAACGCUGGGGCCCGUGUUAACUCCAUUUGAUUGUCAAAUUGCUUAGAUAACUCAAUUUGAUUGUCCUCAUAGUGUUCUCACAUGCUUAGAAGAGUUGGAAACACUAUAAAUGUUUUGGUACAGAUAUGUGCUCUAGAAUAGUGAUUCUGGCAUGCUAUAUUUUUCAUUGCGGUGAAUGGUAUUCUCUUUUCCCACACAGCAUGAUUUCCCCUUUUGGGGCCUCUCUGCUUCAAAUUAUUCCAUAUGAUUGUAAUAUGUGGCCUUGAAAAACUCCUAUGGUUUUCUAUGAUGCACUCAAACAUCAUGUCGAUCAUAUCGUAUCAAGAGAGGGCAUGACAUUGCAACCCAGUGAUUUUCCUAUUAUGAGUUUUUAGGUCCUGCGAACCAAUUAGGCCCUUGGUCAUUUCUUGAACUCAAUCAGUAACUCAUUUGUGGAAAAAACUUGAUGAUGUGUGUACCUAUGUGUUCUGUUCUGUUUUGAAGUGGAUAACAUUGCCCCAUGUUUCACUUGGAAAUAACUUAUGUUUAUUGAAUAAUAGGAAUUUAUGCACCAUUUCUAUCUGUUCAUAACUCUUAAACUAGCACUGCUCUCCUUAAAAUUUCUAAUUAGGCUGACUGCUGUUUUGUGCUCCACAGAUACAACGGUCCGGCAAGCUGCUAUGGUGGUCAAGUGUCUGCUGCCUAGGAAAAUAGAUAUUUAGUUUUAGGUCAUUUCUUGUAAUGUCAGAUAUGGAGUGCUUGUCUUUAGUUUUUUGUUUUUACUUUGUGAAACUUGCUACCUAUGGAUGACACUGUGUAAUAUUGAUGAAACUAUGUAUAUGUAUGGAUGAAACUUGCUACUAUUGGUAACAUGUGUUGGAUAUCCUAUAUUGGUCACACACACACACACACAAACACACACACACACACACACGUGUGUGUGUGUGUGUGUGUGUGUGUGAUUUUCUGUGAAAAUGAAUGGAUAUAAGAAGAAACAGAAUUAAUGCCUAUUUGGUCUCUUUGCCAUCUGCCAGCAGAUGGCAAAGAGCCUGCAGUCUUUGCCGUCCGCCAGCAGAUGGCAAAGAGCCAUGCCCUUUGUCGUCUGCUAGCAGAUGGCAAAGAGCCAUGCCCCUUGCCGUCUGCUAGCGGACGGCAAAGACCUUUGCAUCUUUGUCGUCCGCAAGCAGACGACAAAGUGCCCUUUGUCGUAGCUUGUUCAACCGGACAUUUUGCCGUCUGCUGGCUGACAGCAAAGGCCUUUGCCAUCCGCAAGGCAUGCCUUUGCCGUUAGCCAUGGUGGACAGCAAAGUUUCUGGUUCCUGUAGUGAUUCUUGCUGCAGAGAAGAACAAGGCCCCGAUGCCUGAAGUUGAAGAAGAAGAUGAUGAAGUCCAAGUGCUCAGAAAACUCAACCCAAAGAUACCAGACCAUGAUGAUAAUCAUCCAGUAGCAGAAAACAUGAAGGAAAGAAAAGAUGCAGGUCUCGGACUAUGAAGACAAGCUAAUCCAUAUGCUCUGAGGAGAAGGACUGCUGUGGACUAUAGAUUUCACACCAAAGAACAACAAGAUUUCGAUGAGACAAUGCUACUAGACAAGAAGCCCAUUGUCUGUGAUAUGAAGUGGGUUGAUUGGGAAUAUAUUGACAAAAAUGAAGAUCACUUUCUAGGAGUGCAUGAAAGCUUCAAGCUCAAUGGAGUUGACAAGUUUGUGGGUCAGAAGUUGACCAAGUGGAAUGAUGAGCUCAUUAUGCAGUUUUAUUCAACAGCUCAUUUCUAUCCUGAUGGAAAGAUUGUGUGGAUGUCUGAAGGUACAAGGUACCAAUCUUCUAUUGAUGAGUGGGCCAAGCUCAUAAAUGCCCCCAAAGAAGCUUAGAAAGACAUUGAUGUCUAUGCUAAAAAGAAGAAGGAUCACAAGUCCAUGGCCAACAUGUACAAGGAGAUACCUGACAAAGCCUUGGAGACACACAAGUUGGGCUCAGUGUAUUACUUGAUGUCUGGAUUGGCCACAAUGAACAUCAUUUUGAGGCACACCUUGUUGCCCAAAUCAGGAGAUCACAGGAUGAUCAAAGGCCAUUCCAUCAAUUUGCUUCAGCUCUUUGACUUGCCCCAGAAAUUCAAGGUCAUGAGCUUGAUUGUUGAGACCAUCAAGAGAACAACUGUUGACCAGAAGAGGUCAUGUGGAUAUGCUCCACACUGAUGACCCACAAGUAUAGGGGAUCUAUCGUAGUCCUUUUGAUAAGUAAGAGUGUCGAACCCAACAAGGAGCAGAAGGAAAUGACAAGCGGUUUUCAGUAAGGUAUUCUCUGCAAGCACUGAAAUUAUCGGUAACAGAUAGUUUUGUGAUAAGAUAAUUCGUAACGGGUAACAAGUAACAAAGUAACUAAGGUGAAGCAAGGUGGCCCAAUCCUUUUUUAGCAAAGUACAAGCCUGGACAAACUCUUAUAUAAAGCAAACCGCUCCGAGGACACAUGAGAAUUAUCGUCAAGCUAGUUUUCAUCAUGCUCAUAUGAUUCGCGUAUGUUACUUUGAUAAUUUGAUAUGUGGGUGGACUGGUGCUUGGGUACUGCCCUUCCUUGGACAAGCAUCCCACAUAUGAUUAACCCCUCUCACAAGCAUCCGCAACUACGAAAGAAGAAUUCAGGUAAACCUAACCAUAGCAUGAAACAUAUGGAUCCAAAUCAGCCCCUUAUGAAGCAACGCGUAAACUAGGUUUAAGCUUCUGUCACUCUAGCAACCCAUCAUCUACUUAUUACUUUCCAAUGCCUUCCCCUAGGCCCAAACAAUGGUGAAGUGUCAUGUAGUCGACGUUCACAUAACACCACUAGAAGAAAGACAACAUACAUCUCAUCAAAAUCAAACGAAUACCAAAUUCACAUGACUACUUAUAGCAAGACUUCUCCCAUGUCCUGAGGAACAAACGUAACUACUCACAAAUCAUAUUCAUGUUCAUAAUCAAAGGGGUAUUAAUAUGCAUAAAGGAUCUAAACAUAUGAUAUUCCACCAAAUAAACCAACUAGCAUCAACUGCAAGGAGUAAUCAACACUACUGGCAACCCACAGGUACCAAUCUAAGGUUUUGAGACAAAUAUCAGAUACAAGAGAUGAACUAGGGUUUGAGGGGAGAUGGUGCUGGUGAAGAUGUUGAUGGAGAUUGACUCCCUCUCGAUGAGAGGACCGGUGGUGAUGAUGAUGGUGACGAUUUCCCCCUCUCGGAGGGAUGUUUCCCCGGCAGAACAGCUCCGCCGGAGCCCUAGAUUGGUUCCAUCAAGGUUUCGCCUCGAGACGGCGUCCCUUCGUACCGAAAGCUUCCUUAUGAUUGCUUCCAGGGAAAAAUACACCAUAUAGGAGAAGAUGGGCAUAGGGGGGCUGUCAGGUGGCCCACGAGGCAGGGGGCACGCCCAGGGGGGUAGGGCGCGCCCUCCACCCUUGUGGACAGUGGGUGGCCCCCCUCUAGUGCUUUCUUCGCCCAAUAUUUUUAGUAUAUUUCAAAACUGACUUUUGUGGAGUUUCAGGACUUUUGGAGUUGUGCAUAAUAGGUCUCUAAUAUUUGCCCUUUUCCAGCCUAGAAUUCUAGCUUCCGGCAUUCUCCCUCUUCAUGUAAACCUUGUAAAAUAAGAGAGAAAAGUCAUAAGUAUUGUGACAUAAUGUGUAGUAACAACCCAUAAUGCAAUAAAUAUCGAUAUAAAAGCAUGAUGCAAAAUGGACGUAUCACACACAUACAGAUGUUGAUUAACUCCAAGAUGCCCAAAGGAGUAUACUAGUUGGAAAAGGAGCAUCUUCCCUUGAGGCAUGAUUUUGAGGACAACACUGUUGUCAUGAAUCCUGAAGAUCCCACAUCUGUGGAAGCUCAAGAGAAGAGGCAGGAAGCUAAAGCUGAGAAGGCAGCAAAGAUGCCAAGUGCUGAAGAAGCUUAACAAGUGUUCCUCAAGUCAAAGCAAGACCAACUUGAAUAUCUUAUUCAAGCUACCUUGAGGAUUGAGAAAGGAUUGGCCACCCUGACUCAGAACCAGGAGAGCUUGGAGAGAAUCAUUGAAACAAAAUUCUAUGAUCUUGACUUGAAGGUGACAGAGAUACAAACAGCAGUUGAGCAGAUCCAGGAAGAAUCAGAAUAGAGGAAGGGGAAAGCAACCAUUGAAGUGUUUUAGAGAGUGCCUAGGGCAGAGAGAUCUGCAGCAGUGCCAGUGCCAGACACUAAAGCAACAACAUCAGCACCUGCAGCCACAGCUCCAGUUGCCCCUCCAGUGGCAACUCCACCAGCUCCAUCAACUUCAAUAGAUGCUUUCAUCCUUGGAGUCCUCUUAACACCACCUCAUGAAGAUCAAACCUAGAGUGUCGCAUAUCACUAUGCAUUUUGGUAACUUGUUGCCAAAGGGGGAGAAAGUGUAUAGAUCAUAGGCUUCGAGGGGGAGAGAGCUUUGCUUCUUUUGCUACUUAUUUGCUUGUUUGCUUGGUUGAUACUUUAUGUCUAUGUGUGUGAGAUACUUUGUUUGGUCAUGUGUUUGAUCAUAUCAUGCUUAAUGCUUGUGCUUGGAUGAUGAUAUUCUCUAACUUUAAUGUAUGAUCAUUCACUUUGCCUUGGUGAUGAGUGCUUGUUCCUAUUUCUAUCAUUUUGAGCGCUCCACCAAGAUGUAUGUGACAUGGAAGAGUAACCCAUGAUCCUAAUUGCUUGUGCAUUUGCAUUCAAAAGCAAAUCUUAAAUAAUGCAUAAAUUUAGGGGGGGGGGGGCUCUUGCUUAUCACAUACUUCUCAAAGCGACGAUGUUUUUCAUUCUUAUUAUCAUUUGUCGAAGCUUUGAUCUAUAUGUUGUCAUUAAUUACCAAAAAGGGGGAGAUUGAAAGUGCAACUAAUCCCUGGGUGGUUUUGGUAAUCCUUAACAACAUAUAGCUCAUUGAACUAAUGCUCUUUCGAGAUGACCAUUUCAGAAAGUUCAAUGAUUGGUAUGGCAUGGACUAGAGAUGUGGACCAUCAAAAUGCUAAUGACACAUAUUGGCAACAAGCUCAAGACUCUACAUUUUUAUUUAAGUGAUCCAAGAUCACAUUGAGUCCAUAGGAAAGCAAUACUAUUAAAAGGGGAUGAGGUGUUGCUUAAUGGCUUGCUUGCUCAAAAUGCUUAGUGAUAUGCUCCAAAACCCUCAGCCACUUUCUCAUUUCCACAUAUGUCCUAAACCUAAAAUUCAAACUCGGCCCCACCGAUUUGAUAUAUUCGGCGCCACCGAGUUCAUUUGACAUAGCCACUGCCACAAACCCUAGUCACUUCGGUCUCACCGAUAGGGAUCUCAGUAUCAACGAGAUGGGAUUGCAAACUCCCUGUUUCCUUUUCGUAACAUUUCGGUCCCACCGAAAUGAGCGAAUUGGUCCCACCGAGUUCGCAAUGCAAAUUCCCUAUUUCAUUUUCGUAACGUUUUGGUCUCAGCGAAAUGAGCGAACCGGUCCCACCGAGUUUGCCUGACCAACUCUCUAUGUGCCUAUUACUGAAAUUGGUCCCACCGAGAUUACGUUAUGCCCUAACCCUAGCGCAUCGGUCCCACCAAGUUGAUCGUAUCAGUCCCACCAAAAAGCAUAACGUUCAUAUUUUGACCUGAAUCGGUAUGACCGAUUUUUACCAUUCGGUAUCACCGAGUUUGGGAAUAUCUGUGUAAUGUUUAGAUUUGUGUGGAGUCUAUAUAUACCCCUCCAACCAUUCUUCAUUCGUGGAGAGAGCCAUCAGAACGUGCCUACACUUCCACCAUUCAUUUUCUGAUAGAGAACCACCUACUCAUGUGUUGAGACCAAGACAUUCCAUUCCAACCACAAGAAUCUUGAUCUCUAGCCUUCCCCAAGUUGCUUUCCACUCAAAUCAUCUUUUCACCAUAGCCAAAUCUGUGAGAGAGAGUUGAGUGUUGGGGAGACUAUCAUUUGAAGCACAAGAGCAAGGAGCUCAUCAUCAACACACCAUAUAUUACCUUUUGGAGAGUGGUGUCUCCCAGAUUGGUUAGGUGUCACUUGGGAGCCUCCAUCAAGAUUGUGGAGUUGAACCAAGGAGUUUGUAAGGGCAAGGAGAUCGCCUACUUCAUGAAGAUCUACCCAAGUGAGGCAAGUCCUUCGUGGGAGAUGGUCAUGGUGGGAUAGACAAGGUUGCUUCUUCAUGGACCCUUCGUGGCUGGAGCCCUCCAUGGACUCGCACAACCGUUAUCCUUCGUGAGUUUAAGUCUCCAUCAACGUGGAUGUACGAUAGCACCACCUAUUGGAACCACGCCAAAAAUCUCUGUGUCAACAUUGCGUUUGCUCCCUCCAAACUCCUCCCAUUUACUUUCUUGCAAGUUGCAUGCUUUACUUUCCGCUGGUCAUAUACUCUUUGCAUGCUUGCUUGAAUUGUAUUGUGAUUGCUUGACUUGUGCUAAGUUGCUAAAAUCUGCCAAGAAUUAAAAUUGGGAAAAGGUUAGGUUUUUAAUUGGUCAAGUAGUCACCCCCCCCCCCUCUAGACAUACUUUCGAUCCUACAGUGCCCCACCUCCCCAAGCAACGUGGGAAAGGGUGUGGGGGCGCACAUCCCCUUAGUGGGCUGGUUUGCCCCCUCCCCUUGGCCCAUGAGGCCCUGCAACACUUGCCAGCGCCCCCGAAACACCUUUCGGUCAUGCUGGCCAUAGCCCGGUACCCCCGGAACACUUCCGGACUCCAAUACCCUUCGUCCAAUAUAUUGAUCUUCACCUCUGGACCAUUUCGGAGUUCCUCGUCACGUCCGGAAUCUCAUCCGGGACACCGAACAACCUUCGGUAACCACAUACUAUUCCCAUUACAACUCUAGCAUCACUGAACCUUAAGUGUGUAGACCCUACGGGUUCAGGAACCAUGCAGACAUGACCUUCGGUAACCACAUACCGAAGGUCAUGUCCGGAAUCUCAUCCGGGACACCGAACAACCUUCGGUAACCACAUACUAUUCCCAUUACAACUCUAGCAUCACUGAACCUUAAGUGUGUAGACCCUACGGGUUCAGGAACCAUGCAGACAUGACCAAGAUACCUCUCUGGCCAAUAACCAAUAGCGGGCUAUGGAUACCCAUAUUGUCUCCCACAUGUUCCACGAUGAUCUUAUCAGAUGAACCACGAUGUCGGGGAUUCAAUCAAUCCUGUAUACAAUUCCCUUUGUCCAUCGGUAUGUUACUUGCCCGAGAUUCGAUCAUGGGUAUCCCCAUACCUUGUUCAAGCUCGUUACCGGCAAGUCUCUUUACAGGUUCUGUAACACAUGAUCCCGUGACUAACUCCUUAGUCACAUUGAGCUCAUUAUGAUGAUGCAUUACCGAGUGGUCCCAGAGAUACCUCUCCGUCAUACGGAGUGACAAAUCACAGUCUCGAUUCGUGCCAACCCAACAGACACUUUCGGAGAUACCUGUAGUGCACCUUUAUAGUCACCCAGUUACGUUGUGACAUUUGAUACACCCAAAGCAUUCCUACGGUAUCCGGGAGUUGCAUAAUCUCAUGGUCUAAGGAAAUGAUACUUGACAUUAGAAAACCUCUAGCAAACGAACUACAUGAUCUUGUGCUAUGCUUAGGAUUGGGUCUUAUCCAUCACGUCAUUCUCCUAGUGAUGUGAUCCCGUUAUCAACGACAUCCAAUGUCCAUGGUCAGGAAACCACAACCAUCUAUUGAUCAACGAGCUAGUCAACUAGAGGCUCACUAGGGACAUAUUGUGGUCUAUGUAUUCACACAUGAAUUAUGGUUUCCGAUUAAUACAAUUAUAGCAUGAACGGCGAUUAUCAUAAACAAGGAAAUAUAAUAAUAAACAUUUUAUUAUUGCCUCUAGGGCAUAUUUCCAAUAGUCUACCACUUGAACUAGAGUCAAUAAUCUAGUUACAUUGUGAUGAAUCAAACACCCAUAGUGUUCUGGUGAUGAUCAUGUUUUGCUCGUGGAAGAGGUUUAGUCAACGGGUCUGCAAUAUUCAGAUCCGUAUGUACUUCGCAAAUCUCUAGGUCAUAUUGUAGAUGUUGCUUCCACGCUCCACUUGGAGCUAUCCCAAAUGGUUGCUCCACUAUACGUAUCCAGUUUGCUACUCAGAGUCAUCCGGAUAGGUGUUAAAGCUUGCAUCGACGUAACCCUUUACGCCAAACUCUUUAUCACCUCCAUAACCGAGAAACAUUUCCUUAUUCCUCUAAGGACAAUUUUGACCGCUAUCUAAUAAUCCACUCCUGGAUCACUCUUGUACCCCCUUUCUAGACACGUGGCAAGGCACAUAUCAGGUGCGGUACACAGCAUGUCAUAUCGUAUAGAACCUAUGGCUAAGGCAUAGGGGACGACCUUCGUCCUUUCUCUUUCUUCUGUCAUGGUUGAGCUUUAAGUAUUUACUUCACACCUUACAACUAAAGCAAGAACUCCUUCUUUGACUGAUCCAUUUUGAACUCCUUCAAAAUUAUGUCAAGGUAUGUGCUCUGUGAAAGUCUUAUCAGGCGUCUUGAUCUAUCUCUGUAGAUCUUGAUCCCAAUAUGUAAGCAGUUUUACCCAGGUCUUCCUUUGAAAAACUCCAUUCAAACAACCCUUUAUGCUUUCUAGAAAUUAUACAUCAUCUCUGAUCAACAAUAUGUCAUCCACAUAUACUUAUCAGAAAUGUUGCAGUGCUCCCACUCACUUUCUUGUAAAUACAAGUUUCUUGCAAACUUUGAUCACCACAUCAAAGCAUAUGUUCCAACUCCGAGAUGCUUGCUCCAGUCCAUAGAAGGAUCGCUGGAGCUUCCAUAUCUUUUAGCAUCCUUAGGAUCGACAAAACCUUCUGGUUGUAUCACAUACAUCCUUUCCUCAUAGAAACCGUCAAGGAAACUUUGUUUUGACAUCUAUCUGCCAUAUCUCAAUAAUGAACUUAAGCCGACAUUCUCGCUUCCGCUUUGUCGACCCCUGCUUUCGCGAUUGCUUCCCUCUAAGGCGGAACGCUCCCCUACCGAUGCAUUUUGACAUCCCACAGCUUCGGCACAGCAACUGCUAACAUAAUUCUAACAGACUUCAGCUUCUCUAUGAUUGAGAGAGUCUCAUCACAGUCAACUCCUUGAACUUGUCAAAAACUUCUUUGAGACAAGUCGAGCUUCAUAAAUGGUGACAUUACCAUCAGCGUCUGUCUUCUUCUUAAAGAUCCAUUUAUUCUCAAUGGCUUGCCGAUCAUUGGGCAAUUCCACCAAAGUCCAUACUUUGUUCUCAUACAUGGAUCCUAUCUCGGAUUUCAUGGCUCCUAGCCAUUUGUUGGAAUCCGGGCCCACCAUAACUUCUCCAUAGCUCGUAGGGUCACCGUUGUCCAACAACAUGACUCUUAAGACAGGGUCACCACUCAGAAGUUGUACGCACCCUUCUCUACCUACGAGGUUCGAUAGUAACUUGAUUUGAAGCUUCAUGAUCAUCAUCAUUAGAUUUUUUUUCUUCAACUGACAUAGGUGCCACAAAAACAUCUUUCUGUGAUGCGCUACUCUUUGGUUGAAGUAAAGGUUCAACAACCUCAUCAAGUUCUAUCUUCCUCCCACUCAAUUCUUCUGAGAGAAACUCUUUCUCGAGAAAGGACAUGUUCUUAGCGACAAACACUUUGCCCUCAGAUCUGAGAUAGAAGGUAUACCCAAUCAUCUUCUUUGGGUAUUCUAUGAAGACACAAUUGUCCACUUUGGGUUCGAGAUUUUCUGGCUGAAGCCUAUCGACAUAAGCAUCGCAGCCCCAAACCUUAAGAAACGACAACUUAGGUUUCUUGCCAAACCAUAGUUCAUACAGUGUCAUCUCCAUGGACUUAGAUGGUGCCCUAUUUAAAGUGAAUGUAGUUGUCUCUAAUGCAUAACCCCAAAACAAUAGCGGUAGAUCGGUAAGAGACAUCAUAGAUCGCACCAUAUCCAAUAGAGUGCGAUUACGACGUUCGGACACACCAUUACGCUAUGGUGUUCCAGGUGGCGUCAACUGUGAAACAAUUCCACCUUGUAUUAAGUGAUUGCUAAACUCAUAAAUCAGAUACUCUCCCUUUGAUCAUAUCGUAGGAACUUGGUCUUCUUGUUACGAUGAUUCUCAACUUCACUCUAAAAUUGCUUGAACUUUUCAAACAUUUCAGACUUAUGCUUCAUUAAGUAAACAUGCCCAUAUCUACUCAAUUCCUCGGUAAAGGUGAGAAAAAUAACGAUAUCCACCGCACGCGUCAACACUCAUCGGACCGCACACAUGAGCAUGUAUGAUUUCAAACAAGUCACUUGCCCGUUCUAUUGUUCCAAAAAACGGGGUUUUAGUCAUCUUGCUAACGAGGCAUGGUUCGCAUGUGUCAAGUGAUUCAAAAUCAAGUGACUUCAAAAGUCCAUCGGCAUGGAGGUUCUUCAUGCGCUUUACACCCAUAUGACCUAAGCGAUAGUGCCACAAGAAAGUGGUACUAUCAUUAUCAACUCUACAUCUUUUGGCAUCAAUGUUACGGAAUGUGUAUCACUACGACCGAGAUUCAAUAAACCAUUCACAUUGGGUGCAUGACCAUAGAAGGUGUUAUUCAUGUAAACAGAAUAACAAUUAUUCUCUGACUUAAAAGAAUAACCGUAUUGCAAUAAACAUGAUCUAAUCAUGUUCAUGCUCAACGCAGACACCAAUGCAAACAACAUUUAUCUAGGUUCAACACUAAUCCCGAAAGUAGAGGGAGCGUGCGAUGGUGAUCACAUCAACCUUGGAAACACUUCCAACACACAUCGUCACCUUGCCCUUAGCUAGUCUCCAUUUAUUCCGUAGCUUUUGUUUUGAGUAACCAAUAUUAGCAACUGAACCGGUAUCUAAUACCCAGGUGCUACUAGGAGUACUAGUAAGGUACACAUCAAUAACAAAUAUAUCAAAUAUACUUUUGUUGAAGUUGUCAGCCUUCUUAUCUACCAAGUAUUUGAGCUAGUCCCACUACCACUGACCAUUCCCCUAAUAGAAGCACUUCGUCUCGGGUUUGGGUUCUUGGGAUUCUUCACUGGAGCGGCAACUGGCUUGCCAUUCAUGAAGUUUCCCUUCUUGCCCUUGCCCUUCUUGAAACUAGUGAUCUUGUUAACCAUCAACCCUUGAUGCUCCUUCUUGAUUUCUACCUUCACGGCCUUAAGCACGACGAACAGCUCCGGGAUCAUCUUCCCUUGCAUGUUAUAGUUCAUCACAAAGCUCUAGUAGCUUGGUGAUAGUGACUGGAGAACUUUGUCAAUCACUCUCUUAUCUAGAAGAUUAACUCCCACUUGAUUCAAGCGACUGAAGUACCCAAACAUUCUGAGCACAUGCUCACUGGUUGAGUUAUUUUCCUCCAUCUUGUAGGCAAAGAUCUUGUUAGAGGUCUCAAACCUCUCAACAUGGGCAUGAGCCUAAAAUACCAAUUUCAGCUCUUGGAACAUCUCAUAUGUUCCAUGGCGUUCAAAAACGCCUUUGGAGCCCCGAUUCUAAGCCGUAAAGCAUGGCGCACUAAACUAUCAAGUAGUCAUCAGAAGUGUCUGCCAGAUGUUCACAGCAUCCAUAGACGAUGCUAGAGGGGUUGGCACAUGGAGCGGUGCAUCGAGGAUAGAAUCCUUCUGUGUAGCAGUGAUGACAAUCCUCAGACUACGACCCUAGUCCGCACAAUUUCUCACAAUAUCUUUCAACUUAGUCUCUCUCUAGGAACGUAUUAAAACAAGGAGCUAAAGCGCGAGGUAUUGAUCUACAACAUAAUUUGCAAGGACAAUUUAGACUAUGUUCAUGAUAAUGAGUUCAACUAAUCAAAUUAUUUAAUGAACUCCCACUCGGAUAGACAUCCCUCUAGUCAUCUAAGUGAUACAUGGUCUGAAUCGACUACGCCGUGUCUGAUCAUCACGUGAGACGGACUAGUCAUCAACGGUGAACAUCUCCAUGUUGAUCGCAUCUACCAUACAACUCAUGAUCGACCUUUCGGUGUCUCGUGUUCCGAGGCCAUGUCUGUACACGCUAGGCUCAUCAAGUCAACCUAAGUGUUUCACAUGUGUAAAUCUGGCUUACACCUGUUGUAUGCGAACGUUAGAAUCUAACACACCCGAUCAUCACGUGGUCCUUCAAAACAACGAACUUUCGCAACGGUGCACAGUUAGGGGAAACACAUUUCUUGAAACUUUAGUGAGGGAUCAUCUUAUUUGUGCUACCGUCAUACUAAGCAAAUAAGAUGUAAACAUGACAAACAUCACAUGCAAAUCAUAAAGUGACAUGAUAUGGACAAUAUCAUCUUGAGCCUUUGAUCUCCAUCUUUGCGGCGCGACAUGAUCACUAUCGUCACCGGCAUGACACCAUGAUCUCCAUCAUCAUGAUCUUCAUCAUCGUGUCUUCAUGAAGUUGUCUCACCAACUAUUACUUCUACUACUAUGGCUAACGGUUAGCAAUAAAAUAAAGUAAUUACAUGGCGUUUAUAUUGACUCACAGGUCAUACAAUAAAUUAAGACAACUCCUAUGGCUCCUGCCGAUUGUCAUACGCAUCGACAUGCAGGUCGUAAUUCCUAUUACAAGAACAUGAUCAAUCUCAUACAUCACAUAUAUAAUUCAUCACAUCCUUUUGGCCAUAUCACAUCACAUAGCAUACCCUGCAAAAACAAGUUAGACGUCCUCUAAUUGUUGUUGCAUGUUUACGUGACUGCUAUGGGUUUCUAGCAAGAACGUUUCUUACCUAUGCAAAAGCCACCACGGUGAUAUGCCAAUUGCUAUUUACCCUUUAUAAUGACCCUCUUCAUCGAAUCCGAUCCAACUAAAGUGGGAGAGACAGACACCCGCUAGCCACCUUAUGCAACAAGUGCAUGUCAGUCGGUGGAACCUGUCUCACGUAAGCAUACGUGUAAGGUCGGUCCGGGCCGCUUCAUCCCACAAUGUCGCCGAAUCAAGAUAGGACUAGUAACAGUAAGAAAAUUAACCAAAUCAUCGCCCACAACUACUUGUGUUCUACUCAUGCAUAGAAACUACGCAUAGACCAAGCUCAUGAUACCACUGUUGGGUAACCUAGUAAUAAUUCAAAAAAAUUCCUAUGCGUCACCAAGAUCAAUCUAGGAGAUGCUAGCAACGAGAGAGAGGGAGUGCAUCUUCAUACCCUUGAAUAUCGCUAAGCGGAAGCAUUACAAGAAUGCGGUUGAUGGAGUCGUACCCGCGGCGAUUCAAAUCGCGGAAGACCCGAUCCAAGCGCCGAACGGACGGCGCCUCCACGUUAAACACACGUACAACCCAGGAACGUCUCCUCCUUCUUGAUCCAACCAGGGGAGAGGGGAAGUUGAGGGAGAACCCCGGUAGCACGACGGCAUGGUGGUGGUGGAGCUCGUGGUUCUCCGGCAGGGCUUCGCCAAGCACUACAGAGGAGGAAGAGGUGUAGGAAGGAGAGGAAGGGCGACACCAGGGCGUGUCAGGGUGCAGCUGCCCUCUCUCUCCCUCAAUAUAUAUAGGGGGGAGGGGAGGAGGAGGCGCCAUUGGUUUCCCCUACGGGGGCGGUGGCUAGGGCAGAUUGGAUCUCCCUAGGGAAACCCUAGGGAGACUUGCCCCCCAAGCCAAGCCAGGUGGAGGCUUGCCUCCCAAGCCAGGUGGAGGUGCCCCACCUCCCCAAGCAAUGUGGGAAAGGGUGUGGGGUAGCACAACCCCUUAGUGGGCUGGUUUGCCCCAUCCCAUUGGCCCAUGAGGGCCUGCAACACUUGUCGGGGCCCCCGAAACACCUUUCGGUCAUGCUGGCCAUAGCCCGGUACCCCCGGAACACUUCUGGACUCCAAUACCCUUCGUCCAAUAUAUUGAUCUUAACCUUCGGACCAUUCUGGAGUUCCUCGUCAUGUCCGGUAUCUCAUUCGGGACUCCGAACAACCUUCGGUAACAACAUACUAUUCACAUUACAACUCUAGCGUCACUGAACCUUAAGUGUAGACCCUACGGGUUCGGGAACCAUGCAGACAUGACCAAGAUACCUUUCCGGCCAAUAACCAAUAGCGGGAUCUGGAUACCCAUAUUGGCUCCCACAUGUUCCACGAUGAUCUCAUCGGAUGAACCACGAUGUCGGUGAUUCAAUCAAUCCCGUAUACAAUUCUCUUGUCCAUCGGUAUGUUACUUGCCUGAGAUUCAAUCAUCGGUAUCCCCAUACCUUGUUCAAUCUCGUUACCGGCAAGUCUCUUUACUCAUUCCGUAACACAUGAUCCCGUGACUAACUCCUUAGUCACAUUGAGCUCAUUAUGACGAUGCAUUAUCGAGUGGGCCCGGAGAUACCUCUCCGUCAUACAGAGUGACAAAUCCCAGUCUCGAUUCGUGCCAACCCAACAGACACUUUCGGAGAUACCUGUAGUGCACCUUUAUAGUCACCCAAUUACGUUGUGACGUUUGAUACACCCAAAGCAUUCCUACGGUAUCCGGGAGUUGCACAAUCUCAUGGUCUAAGGAAAUGAUACUUGACAUUAGAAAACCUCUAGCAAACGAACUACACGAUCUUGUGAUAUGCUUAGGGUUGGGUCUUGUCCAUCACAUCAUUCUCCUAAUGAUGUGAUCCCUUUAUCAACAACAUCCAAUGUCCAUGGUCAGGAAACCACAACCAUCUAUUAAUCAACGAGCUAGUCAACUAGAGGCUCACUAGGGACAUAUUGUGGUCUAUGUAUUCACACAUGUAUUAUGGUUUCCGGUUAAUACAAUUAUAGCAUGAACAAUAGACAAUUAUCACGAACAAGGAAAUAUAAUAAUAAACAUUUUAUUAUUGCCUCUAGGGCAUAUUUCCAACACACACGACACCCAUUGUGCCUACAAACUUGACCUAACAAUGGCAUAUGAUAGAGUGAACUGGAAGUUCCUGGAGGAGGCCCUUGAGAGAAUUGGAUUUCGCCAGAAGUGGAUAAACUGGGUCAUGGAAUGUGUUACCUUAGUGAGGUUCUCAGUGAAGUGUAAUGGCGAGUAACUGGAUUUCUUCAGACCGACUAGAGGGCUCUGAUAGUGUGACCUUCUCAACCUGUAUUUGUUUUUGUUUGUUGUAGAUGAUUUGGUUAAAUUGCUCAACAAGGAGGUUGCAGGGGGGAAGGAUCGCACCAAUUAAAAUCGCAAAGAACAACCCUAGUAUAUCAAAUUUGUUGUUCGUGGAUGAUAGUAUGUUUUUCUUCAGGGCCUCGUUGGACCGAGCGGUUGCUCUUAAGCAAGGUUUUGAAUAAUUUCUAGGAAUGCAUGGGGCAACUUCUUAGUUCAAGUAAAUGUCCAUUUCUCUUCAGUGAUCAAUGCCCGAAGCAGGUGAGAACGGACAUUAAAGGGGUGUUGGAAGUGGAAAUUACUACUUUCGAGAGCAAAUACAUGGGUUUACCGACACCGGAAGGAAGGAUGAAGGAUGAGCUUCCAAUCAGUUAUGGACAAACUUGGGAAAGGUGCAACAAUUGGAACGGGAGAUUUAUGUCCUAUGCUGCAAAAGAGGUCCAUGUCAAAUCGCUAGUCCAAACACUCCCUUCUUUCACCAUGGGAGUGUUCCUGCUCUUGAAAGGCUUCUGAGAAGUAUGAAAGAAUGAUAUGUGAUUUUUGGUGGGGAGAUGAAGGACAUAGAAAGGUGCAAUGUGAUGUCUUGGGAGCGCGUGACCAACCAAAGCGAGCAGGAGGGUCAGGUUCAGAGACCUGCAUUUAUUCAACUUGUCAUUUCUUGCCAAGCAAAGUGGGAGGCUCAUUCAAAACCCAAACAGUAUGUAUGCAAGAAUUCUCAAAGCAAAAUAUUUCCCAAAGGGUGACCUCCUUAGUACGAUGUUUCCCUUGGAUGCAUUGCCGGCUUGGAGAACAAUUGAACACGAGCUCGGACUACUUAAGAAAGGUCUCAUUUCGAGAGUUGGAAACGGUAAAAAUAUUCAGAUCUAGAGGGACCAAUGGAUUCCGAGAAAAAAAUGGUUUGAGAACAGCAAACUUCAUUGGGAGAUGCAGACUUUGUUGGGUUAAUCAAUUUAUUAAUACACGGAGAAAAGAGUGGGACAGAGAGCUGAUUGGGAAUUUUUUUACCCCUUUAAAGCGGAGGAGAUCUAUAAGAUUAAAAUCCUUCAGUCGAGGUGGAGAAUUGCAUCGCCCAGCAUCAUGAGAAAAAUGACGUGUUCACUGUCUAGAGUGCAUACAAGCUUGCGGCAACUCUAAACCGCAACACAUCGGUGGGAGCCUCAAACUCGUCUAGUGCUACUGGGAACAUAAGCAUAUAUAUGGGAUGUUAUUUCGAAAUUGGACGUCCCGAGAGAAUCAAGAUUUUCGGUUGGAGGGUUGCGACAAGCAAUUUGGCAACAAAAAGAAAUAAGUGCACACGCACAAUCAUUCAUGACAGUGUGUGUGACAUAUGUGGGAACGGAGAUGAGGAUGAAUUUCAUGCAGUCAUCUCUUGUACCAAAAGUAAGGCGCUAAGAUUUUCUAUGAGGAAAGUUUGGGGACUACCGGAUGAAAAGGAAUUUUUUUUUUCAUACAGGGACAAACUGACUUAAAAUUCUACUGGACAAAAAAAAAA
This 18466-nucleotide long non-coding RNA is filed under the name Triticum aestivum (bread wheat). RNAcentral's name for it is "long non-coding RNA (TAES_LNC003004)". Lineage: Eukaryota; Viridiplantae; Streptophyta; Magnoliopsida; Poales; Poaceae. The record is from RNAcentral.